Podarcis lilfordi (Lilford's wall lizard) is the source of this 3819-nucleotide non-coding RNA. The record is from the annotation of a GenBank genome assembly. NCBI's taxonomy places the organism in Eukaryota, Metazoa, Chordata, Lepidosauria, Squamata, Lacertidae.
GCAGCAGGAGGCCCCCUUAGAUAAAGUGGUGCUUCAGGUUAAGAAAGGACCUCCGGAACGAAUUAAGUACUUAACCUGAGGUACCCCUGUAACCAAAAAAAGCUUCCUUGGGAUUCAUUUGUGAGGAAUAAGGUGAAUAGAGCCUGGUAUUUUUAAUUACCGGUACGUUGUUGGAAUUACUGUAUCCGGAUAGCUUCAGAGCGUUUUUAGAGCCCACCCCCAAUUUGAACAGCAGACCCCUUUAAAGAUUAUAUUAUAUUAUAUUAUAUACACUGCCCCAUACUAGCAAUCAAGUUCUGAUGCACUCCAACUCUGGCUCAUAUGUUACUAAUGCUUAAUUGUAGUAAGUUUAGAUCAACUAAAUAUUUUUCUUAAAUGUAUAAUUGAUUGUGUAGGGAAGGAAGAGCUGGAAGAAUGGAAAUCAUACAUCAUUUCAUUAUUAAUGGCAAUGUCUAAAUAAAAUGCAGACCUUGUCAUAUUUAAUGGAUGGCUGAGUACAUUCUGCUCCAAAACACAAGGCGUUCUUUUUUCAAUUUUUUUUUUAAAGAAGUGCCUGAAUAAUUUUAACUGGAUUGGGUGGGAUUUAACAUUGUUAGAGAUGUGUACAAAUUAUUCUAGAUGUAGAAACUUUGGGAGCAAAAUAAAUAAAUACGGGGGAAGAGGAUGAGGAUCCGGCAAUUGUAAAAACUGUAUGUGUGCGUAUGCGUGUGCAACUGUAUAGACAUAAUAGUUAAAAAAAAUUAUCUCAGUAAUAUAUGGAAAGAGACUUAUUAAACAAACAGAUAAAAUUACAUGCGUUGUGACUGUAGGUUUUGGUACCAGUCCACUUUUUUAAAGGGAAGUCAGGCGAACCGUUUGUGGAACAACUUUGAGCUUUUCAGCCUGGUGCGAAAAAAGUUGAAGAAGUAACUUAGCCUUGUGGUUCUGGUCUCCACUGAAGAAUUAAACUACUGUACUCUGAGUGAUUCUUGAGAUUUACCGGUGUCAGGAAGGUUCUCGGUCAUUGUAUUCUUUAUAGCACUACAGUUUCAGAGUUUAAAUAUUAGGGACAUCGUGGAACAGUAGCAUCUGUACCAGUAAAUGCUGAGAAAUUGGGUCAUUCUGCAAUUAGGGAAAUUACUGCUCGAGAACGUUUAUUCAGAAAAAAAGGCCUGCUCCUUGAAAUUGUAGCAUAGCCUUUAAAAUAAGUAGCAUGUGGCAGCUCUGCUGUGUGAUCUCAAUCCAUGCUCGUCAAAGCAUUUUCACGUAAGAUCAGGAAUAUCAGUGGGGCCUGGCUGCCUCUUGAGAGUCUUUCUAUGAUUCAUUUUUUCUAAUCUUAUUCAGCUGGUCCCACUAAGGGUAAGCUAUCCAGGAAAAAGUUGUGUGCUAGCUUCCCUGUAGAAUUACAGGGAUUUGAAAUCAUGGUUAAAUCCUAUUGAUAUGAUAUGCAUAUUUAUUAAUAGUAUUUAUGUGCUGGUCAAAAAUAACGCUAGGCUAUAUCUGGAUUGGACUCCCAUCCCCCCCCGCUCACAUGUCUGUGAUGAUGUAUGUGCUUCUACUAUGAUGUAGACUUUAAAAUGUUAAGUGACGGGAAACACACUGAUAGCUUGCUUCCCAUUGCUUUCCUGCCCUAACUAUGAGUAUGCAAGGGAGCCCUUUACCAAAGGAUUUCUCAUUUCAAACCAACUUCUAUAGUUAGUGAGGGUUAAAUGGGGAAUAGGGAAAGUAGGAAGCAUGCGGACGCUUCAUUUCAUGCAAAGAGAGGCCAAACUGCUGUCCAAACAGGGUCAGAGAUCCAUGAAAACUGAUCUAGGAUUGCGAUUUCACGCGUGGCUGUUAACAAGUGACUGCAUACCCUCCAACAUUUCUCUGAUGAAAAUAGGGAUGUCCUAAGAAAAAAGGGGGACAUUCUGGGAUCAAAUUAGAACCUGGGACGGUUUCUGUAAAUCCAGAAUUGUCCCUGGAAAAUAGGGCCUUUUGGAGGGCCUGCGACUGUUACAAAAGUUUCAGUGCAAAAUAGGCACCUAAUUUCACUGUUAGGUGAAACCUAAGCAUACCCAGUACUGCAAAAGGCUGCAAUCCUGAACCCACUUACCCAAAAGUAACCCCCACUGAACUUGGCGAGACUUAUCUCUGUUGUGUAAACAUGCACAGACUUGUGCUGUUAGAGUUAUUGCUUCUCAUAGUGGUUUCUAAGUAUUUAAUAUAAAUACUAAUAAAUGUUAUGGUAUAAAUUCCCUGAUAAUAAAUGUUAUGGUAUAAAUUCCCUGAGCCUCAAAGAACAAAAUGAGAGUAAUUGUGUAAAGUAUUGGUGUGAUUCUCCCCCCCCCCCAAAGAUCUGUGGCCUCAAGGCCCAUGGAAGAACUGCCAAAGAUAAGUGCCAAUCUGCCUAGUUAGCCUUUUUUAAGGGGAAGGUAGGUUGUGACCAAUGCUGCCAUUUCAAUGUCUGCUUGCAUAGUGAAAUGUCCCCUUCCCUUCAUUCCUUUCUGCUCAAAAUCUGCUCCAAAAAGUUUGGAGCCCCUCCUGAGCAGUAUUUAGGAGGCAGGUGGUGGGAGGAGAGGAAAGGGAAAUCGCAGUCUGUGAAAAUGGAAUUCCGGAACUGGAUACAAGCUUCUACCUCGGGUUGCAAACGCUUCAGGUUACGAACUCCGCUAACCCGGAAGUAGUUGCUCCGGGCUGCAAACUUUGCCCCAGGAUGAGAACGGAAAUCUCGCACCGGCGGCACAGCGGGAGGCCCCAUUAGCAAAAGUGCGCCUCAGGUUAAGAACGGCUUUGGGUUAAGAACGGACCUCCGGAACGAAUUAAGUUCAUAACCAGAGGUACCACUGUAAUUAGUAUGCACACAUUCUGCUUUGUCAUGGAGCUCAUGGUGCUGCCCCAUCUAGCUUGCAGAAUAAGUGCACCCCCACUUACCUUCAGCAGUGCUAAAGUGUUUGAAGUUCCCACAUCAUCCACUGGGCCUGGGGCUGCAGUAUUUGCCAGGGAUUUGCUCUGCCUCCCACUCCCCGCUGUAGUAUUUGUUACAGCAUUGAUUCAUUCCUGAUCUAGACUUUAGGAGUUUUUAGAUCUUUAUUCUGGAGAACAGCAUUUCAUCUCAUCAUAAAAUCUUUAAUGUACGGCAAAUAUGCUCGUCUUUUUAAAGCUUUCAACUCAAUCCUUUGAUGUUCCUUUUAGAAAGUUAACUAAUACAUCACAAUGGCCUCCUCAAAUGAGUGCUCUUGGAGAGAAAAAAUGUUGCUCUACAAUGUUAAGAAGGAAAACACAAAUAAAGGUACUCAAAUAUUUAUAAAAGCAUUCAGUAGAUCAAAACGGUUCAUUAUGCCUUUAGACACUUCUCUUCAUGACUGAGGAGUUACACCCCAUCCUAUUUAUGCCAUGUAGCAUUUUCUUUUGUUGUUUCUUUAAUUUGCAGCAUCUAAUCAAUAAGUUUCUUAAAUUUAGACAUAUUUAUGGAAAUAUGUUCUAUAUUCAAAGUGGGACACUUCAGAGAGCAGUACUUUUGGGACAGACUUGGGUAUAAAUGUCUAUUUGGUGUUGGAUUUACUGGGUCAAUGUGGUGUUUUAUUUAGUGCUAUUUUUCUAGAAAAAGAGGAGCCAGAACCCACCAUGAACGCCUCCCUUGUCCUCUUAUAAUGGCAAUGGCACCCACUUGAGAGGUGCCAGAAUUGAGUUCCAGCGAAUUCCAGCUGAAAAAAAAGCCCUGGUUUUAUGGCUUCUCAGCCUCAGUUCACCAUCUUUAAAAUGUGAAAAGUAUACAAGUCUCCUUCACAUGGUUGUUGUGAAAAGAGGCCAGAUAAAUAUUCUAUAGCACUUUUUAAGGACACUGAAAACAAUAUCCUU